RNAcentral lists this long non-coding RNA (353 nucleotides) under Cicer arietinum (chickpea). RNAcentral's name for it is "long non-coding RNA (CARI_LNC003153)". Lineage: Eukaryota; Viridiplantae; Streptophyta; Magnoliopsida; Fabales; Fabaceae. The record is from RNAcentral.
UUGAAAUCAAAAUCAAAUACUUAGUCUAAGGAGGAACGAUUUGACGCACACGAAAGCAUUUUAGAAAGGUCUUUACAAAAUGCUAAACCGUAGCGACGAAAAUUAAUUUCCAAAAGUUUCAACUUCUUCCACCUUUCAUCAAACUCAACCUUCUUUGUUUUGUCCAGUAAAUUCCUAACUCUCAUGAACAUUUUGUUCAAAUCAAAGUCCUCUAAUUUUUUUUUUCUUUCUGGUAUCUAAACUUUCUUAGAAAAAUUAAAUAAUCAUACGCCGUGUUUACGAAGAAAAAUUGAAAAUCUUCUUUUCAUAUUCUUAUCAAACUUAAUUUUCCAAUUGCGAAUCUUCUCUUUAAG